GAUGAACGCUGGCGGCGCGCCUAAUACAUGCAAGUCGAGCGAACGGACGAGAAGCUUGCUUCUCUGAUGUUAGCGGCGGACGGGUGAGUAACACGUGGAUAACCUACCUAUAAGACUGGGAUAACUUCGGGAAACCGGAGCUAAUACCGGAUAAUAUUUUGAACCGCAUGGUUCAAAAGUGAAAGACGGUCUUGCUGUCACUUAUAGAUGGAUCCGCGCUGCAUUAGCUAGUUGGUAAGGUAACGGCUUACCGAGGCAACGAUGCAUAGCCGACCUGAGAGGGUGAUCGGCCACACUGGAACUGAGACACGGUCCAGACUCCUACGGGAGGCAGCAGUAGGGAAUCUUCCGCAAUGGGCGAAAGCCUGACGGAGCAACGCCGCGUGAGUGAUGAAGGUCUUCGGAUCGUAAAACUCUGUUAUUAGGGAAGAACAUAUGUGUAAGUAACUGUGCACAUCUUGACGGUACCUAAUCAGAAAGCCACGGCUAACUACGUG
Molecule: ribosomal RNA, 497 nt
Filed under: uncultured bacterium
Lineage: Bacteria
Description: partial 16S ribosomal RNA
Rfam family: Bacterial small subunit ribosomal RNA
Source: RNAcentral